Molecule: long non-coding RNA, 868 nt
Filed under: Cricetulus griseus (Chinese hamster)
Lineage: Eukaryota; Metazoa; Chordata; Mammalia; Rodentia; Cricetidae
Description: lncRNA (ENSCGRG00015015570.2)
Source: RNAcentral
UUAUGAUCUCACUUCCUGGUCCCUGGCUUUGCCUUUUCCGCUGAGCUGAUGCUUGGAAUGUACCCGGUGCCUGCAAUGUGACUCUUUUUCUUUUUCCCAAGACAGAGUUUCUCUGUCCUGGAGCCCUCUCUGGAGACCAGGCUGGCCUCCAACUCAGAGAUCCUCCUGCCUCUGCCUCUCGAGUUCUGGGACCGCCAUCUGACUGUGACUCUCUCUGUUCUUGGCAGUCAGAAAGUACUUCAGCGUUGCAGCUCACAGAGGAAAUGAGCUAUGCAGAGGGAACUGGGAAGACCAUCGGGAGGAGACCACUGAAGGGGACCCUAGCCUGACAUUUCAGAAAGUAGAUAUCUGUCCCUCCUGACUGGAAUGCCCUCUCAUGCCAUGGAGCACUCUCUUCAGGGAAUCUUGGGUUCUUUCUCCAUGUCACUUCAUUCACACGUCCAGUCCUUGCCCAGGAAGGCUGCUGCGGCUCAAGCCAUCACAUCCACACCCCAGCUGCAGAAGGAGUUAGAGAAGCUGCUCCUGAGGGGCAUGCCUGUGAGACUGUACACACCGCAUCCUCCCACUUACACUUCUUUGGCCAGAAGACAGCUGGACUUUGCGAGGAAGACUAGUCUUUAUUUUGGGAGUCCACAUGUUUGGUUCACAGGACAUAACAUGGUAUUGGAGUCACCACGGAAACCAAGGGUCAUCACUCUGUUCUCAGCUCACAAGGCUUCUUCUUUUUCUGUCUCUCCAUACUAGUUUUUAAACCAAGCGGUCACAAAGGUAACUGGAACACUUCCAUCUCGAGGAAUUCUUACAGGCUCCAUGAUGGUAAAAUCUCCAGGUGAAAGCUCCCACCCAUUUUGUCAUUCAUGGGUCCCUG